GCACACUUAGCUCAGUGGUAGAGCGGAGGAUUGCAGCUCCUCAGGUCAGCUGUUCGAUCCAGUUAGGGUGCU
This is a non-coding RNA of Rhynchosporium graminicola, 72 nucleotides long. The record is from the annotation of a GenBank genome assembly. Lineage: Eukaryota; Fungi; Ascomycota; Leotiomycetes; Helotiales; Ploettnerulaceae.